AAAUUACUUUUUUUCCCAACACAAAACAUCCCUUGCUCAAAAUUCUGAAAUCUCUAUCGCGCGCGAUGUCAUGACAGACUUUGUGUGGUAGGGUUUUCACCUCCAUCAGCAAACAGACUAUUCUCCGGCGGAUCUCUGGAUCGAAAUCCUCAUCAAAUUGCCGGUCAAAUCCCUCAUCACAAACCCCAAUUUUAGUUUCGUAGCCUCUCCAAUGCAAAUCUCUCCAUCACAAGCACGAGCACUAUCAUGUGCUCGAAUUCGCCGCUAGUUAUGGAGCCUUCGACAUCAGUUCCUGCUCAGAGCUCGAAUUCUCGUUGAAAUCCCAAAUUGGAUAUUUCAGGAACGUGGGCUCACCACUCCUGCGACGGCCUCGUCUGCUUAACCGACGAUUUCUUCAUGUGUCCUUCGUGUUCUAUGGAACCCUUCCGUUAGAAAUUGUGUGACCUUGCCGCAGGCCAUCACCAAUCCAAAGGGGCCCCUAUAUCGUCGUGUUAGGGUUUAGAGUUGCGAACGGUGUGUACAAGGUUGUGUGCCUCGUCUACUGCUGAAAGCCCGACGACUACGACUUCAACGUCCUGUCGCAGGCCGAGAUAUUCUCGCUCGGAACGGGGAGGUGGAGAAAGGAAAUUCUGGAUAGUAUAUUUUCGUGAAAGCUGUAAUGCUGCUACUGCUUUGUGGGCAACAAAUCAGUUUAAGGUUGCGUUGCUAGUGAAAAGGAUCUCCAAGAGUCGUAGGGUGACAUUGGCUCUGAUAUCCCCUUCUUCUUCUCUCAUGGUGUUGCAUAUUGUACAGUACAGGUAAAUGUGAGGAUAUAUGGUGAAGGCAAUGAAGACAAUAUUGGACAUAUUGAAUGAUGCAUCACAUUUUGAAGGAAAGAAGGAACAACAAGUGUUGAUUCAUUUGAAAUAUUGUUAGGAUUACUUAUUUUGUAAUGGAUACGGUAGAAUUGGUUGGAUUGAACUUGAGUUGUAAUGACCAUUGGAGUUGUAAUAAAUGAUUAUGUUAUACAGUUGUAGUAAUGAUUGUGUCAUGUUUUUAAAUAAAUAUUUAAUUUUAAAAAAUAAA
This is a long non-coding RNA of Salvia miltiorrhiza (redroot sage), 1065 nucleotides long. RefSeq lists it as uncharacterized. NCBI's taxonomy places the organism in Eukaryota, Viridiplantae, Streptophyta, Magnoliopsida, Lamiales, Lamiaceae. The record is from RefSeq and is a predicted model, not a curated record. The transcript is spliced from 3 exons.